RNAcentral lists this ribosomal RNA (231 nucleotides) under Sulfuritalea sp. RNAcentral describes it as "partial 16S ribosomal RNA". It matches the Rfam family "Bacterial small subunit ribosomal RNA", at positions 1 to 234 of the family's 1533-position model. Lineage: Bacteria; Pseudomonadati; Pseudomonadota; Betaproteobacteria; Nitrosomonadales; Sterolibacteriaceae. The record is from RNAcentral.
GAACUGAAGAGUUUGAUCCUGGCUCAGAUUGAACGCUGGCGGAAUGCUUUACACAUGCAAGUCGAGCGGCAGCGCGGGGGCAACCCUGGCGGCGAGCGGCGAACGGGUGAGUAACAUAUCGGAACGUACCCAGUCGUGGGGGAUAACUCUCCGAAAGGAUAGCUAAUACCGCAUACGUCCUGAGGGAGAAAGCGGGGGACCGUAAGGCCUCGCGCGAUUGGAGCGGCCGAU